This 430-nucleotide ribosomal RNA is filed under the name uncultured bacterium. RNAcentral describes it as "partial 16S ribosomal RNA". It matches the Rfam family "Bacterial small subunit ribosomal RNA", at positions 29 to 507 of the family's 1533-position model. The record is from RNAcentral.
AACGAACGCUGGCGGCAGGCCUAACACAUGCAAGUCGAGCGGACCCUUCGGUCCUAGCGGCGGACGGGUGAGUAACGCGUGGGAACGUGCCCUUUGCUUCGGAAUAGCCCUGGAAACUGGGAGUAAUACCGGAUGAGCCCUUUGGGGGAAAGAUUUAUCGGCGAAGGAUCGGCCCGCGUUGGAUUAGGUAGUUGGUGGGGUAAUGGCCUACCAAGCCGACGAUCCAUAGCUGGUUUGAGAGGAUGAUCAGCCACACUGGGACUGAGACACGGCCCAGACUCCUACGGGAGGCAGCAGUGGGGAAUCUUAGACAAUGGGGGAAACCCUGAUCUAGCCAUGCCGCGUGAGCGAUGAAGGCCUUAGGGUUGUAAAGCUCUUUCAGCUGGGAAGAUAAUGACGGUACCAGCAGAAGAAGCCGGCUAACUCCGUG